RNAcentral lists this ribosomal RNA (373 nucleotides) under uncultured bacterium. Its description in RNAcentral is "bacterial SSU rRNA". It matches the Rfam family "Bacterial small subunit ribosomal RNA", at positions 527 to 896 of the family's 1533-position model. The record is from RNAcentral.
GUAGGGGGCAAGCGUUGUCCGGAUUUAUUGGGCGUAAAGAGCUCGUAGGCGGUUCGGUAAGUCGGGUGUGAAAUAUCAGGGCUCAACCCUGAGAGGCCACCCGAUACUGCCGUGACUCGAGUCCGGUAGAGGAGUGUGGAAUUCCCGGUGUAGCGGUGAAAUGCGCAGAUAUCGGGAGGAACACCCAUGGCGAAGGCAGCACUCUGGGCCGGUACUGACGCUGAGGAGCGAAAGCGUGGGGAGCGAACAGGAUUAGAUACCCUGGUAGUCCACGCCGUAAACGUUGGGCACUAGGUGUGGGACUCUAUCGACGGGUUCUGUGCCGUAGCUAACGCAUUAAGUGCCCCGCCUGGGGAGUACGGCCGCAAGGCUA